UACGAAGGGGGCUAGCGUUGCUCGGAAUCACUGGGCGUAAAGCGCACGUAGGCGGAUUGCUAAGUCAGGGGUGAAAUCCUGGAGCUCAACUCCAGAACUGCCUUUGAUACUGGCGACCUUGAGUCCGGGAGAGGUGAGUGGAACUGCGAGUGUAGAGGUGAAAUUCGUAGAUAUUCGCAAGAACACCAGUGGCGAAGGCGGCUCACUGGCCCGGUACUGACGCUGAGGUGCGAAAGCGUGGGUAGCAAACAGG
This 253-nucleotide ribosomal RNA is filed under the name uncultured bacterium. RNAcentral's name for it is "partial 16S ribosomal RNA". It matches the Rfam family "Bacterial small subunit ribosomal RNA", at positions 524 to 776 of the family's 1533-position model. The record is from RNAcentral.